RNAcentral lists this ribosomal RNA (513 nucleotides) under uncultured Rhodovibrio sp. RNAcentral describes it as "bacterial SSU rRNA". It matches the Rfam family "Bacterial small subunit ribosomal RNA", at positions 1 to 526 of the family's 1533-position model. The record is from RNAcentral. Lineage: Bacteria; Pseudomonadati; Pseudomonadota; Alphaproteobacteria; Rhodospirillales; Rhodovibrionaceae.
UAGAGUUUGAUCAUGGCUCAGAGCGAACGCUGGCGGCGUGCUUAACACAUGCAAGUCGAGUGCGUAGUCAUCUGUAGCAAUACAGGUGGCGGGCGCACGGCGCACGGGUGCGUAACACGUGGGCAAUCUGCCCUCUGAUGGGGAAUAACCCGCCGAAAGGCGGGCUAAUACCGCAUAACACCCCGACUGCUUCGGCGGUCGGGGUCAAAGGCCGCAAGGCCGUCGGAGGAGGAGCCCGCGCCCGAUUAGCUUGUUGGCGGGGUAACGGCCCACCAAGCCUGUGAUCCGUAGCUGGUCUGAGAGGAUGAUCAGCCACACUGGGACUGAGACACGGCCCAGACUCCUACGGGAGGCAGCAGUGGGGAGUAUUGGACAAUGGGGGCAACCCUGAUCCAGCAAUGCCGCGUGGGUGAUGAAGGCCUUCGGGUUGUAAAGCCCUUUCGGCGGGGACGAUGAUGACGGUACCCGCAGAAGAAGCCCCGGCUAACUUCGUGCCAGCCGCCGCGGUAAUUC